AUGCCAGUAAAAAAAGAUCUGCAUGCCCCCUCCCGCACCGGGUAUAUCCCAUUUAUGGGGGGGCGCUUCAAGCAACGACGAUGGCACGGUAGCGGCGGUGCAGGAGACUGCGUAGGGUGGACGCCUCGUUGGCGAUACGGUGGCGGUGGUGGAGGCGGGGGCGGUGAACGCAGUGGCCUCACUCUGCCCUUCUGCGCCGGUGGCGGAGGCGGUGGCCUGGGACGAGUCGGCCUCGCGGAACUCCUACGCGGGGACGGCUUCGGCGAAGGUGGCGCUCUCCCCGGCGAUCUUCCCCAUACACCAACUGGCGACGGCACAUUUGCGGCCGACAGAGCAGCCAUGAUGGCCAAGACGGCGAAGAGCUUGAAGAACAGUCGCAUCUUGGCCAAACAAAAUGAAACUGAACACUGCUGCUCUCGAUUGUUGUGGUCGUGGGCUGGCGGCGGCGAGAGUGGCGGUGGCGGAGGCGGAGGCGAGAAUGGUAGUGGCGGAGGCGAGAGUGGUGGUGGUGGAGGCGGCUGUUCGGGUGGAGCCCCCCUCCGGUACCGACGGUGUGGUUCUGGCGGCGGCGGAGCUUCGAGCGGUGAUCUCGAACCAAGAAGUCCCACUGAUGCUGCUGGGUGCCAACAUCUGACGGACACACCAAUGGUUAAUGUGCAUGUGCCCCCGUGUCUGCCACUGCCGACAUGGUGCCGCCUGGAUGGAGAUAACUUCAGUGGUCACCUGAUCAUCUUGGAGCCGCGUAUGAACCUCUCGGUUCUCGAUGCUUUGAUGCGAAUAGGUAUCAUCCAGGACGGCAAGGACAUGACGGAGCGCGCUCUGGAGCAGUUCGCAAAGAGGUUCAAGGGGCAGCUGCCAGAGAAGGUUAUUGCGGUCAUGAGGGCCCUGUUCAAAAUCGACAACAGUCGCUUGGUGGAGAUGGAGGAUGCUCUCACCAGCCAUGGAGGUACUGAUGGUCCGGACCACGAAUUGGUCUCUGGAGGCGCUUCGUUGCAUGCCCAGGAGUCAAGGGGUUUAAACAACCCGGAUCGUCGUGCCACGGCCAAUGAAACUAUCGUUGCGUCCUCGUGCCAUAUCGUGUGCUUGCAAGAAACUAAGCUUGCCAAUGUCAACAGCUUCACAACUGCCUUCCUGGGUGGGAAUAGGCUGAAAAGUUUUGCACAAAAACCUGUGGAUGGGACUAGAGGCGGAAUUCUGCUGCUUUGGGACUGUCUGGUGGUGGGCGUGAGAUGCAUCACCCUAUCCACGUACUGUUUGUCGGCCAUGGUACAACUUAGGGACACCAACGUGCGCUUCAAGUCAACCACGAAUAAACGGAACAUUAAUAGAAGCCGCAUCAACCGCUCCCGUGUCGCGCUCCACACUUGUGACUUGCAAGGAAUCCAUCUUCAAAAUAGACGCUUCACGUGGAGCAACGAGAGAGAGAAUCCCACCUUGUGCAAGCUGGAUACCUUCUUCUGCAAUGCCGAAUGGGACAUUCAGUUCAACACCCACUUGCUCCACGCUUUAUCAUCUUCACUCUCCGUCCAUUGCCCUCUUUUACUUGCGGAUGACAAAGGGCGCCGAAGGCCUAAUGUUUUCAAAUUCAAAAUUUUCUGGACUUCUAUGCCCGGCUUUCGCGAGGUAGUGGAAAAGGCCUGGAAUGAACCCAUCACCCACACUGAGCCAUACCAUGUGCCUCAUCACAUGCUCAAGAUCACGGGCAUCCCCUUGUUGCAGUGGAGUAGAAGGCUCUUCUCCAAAGCUAAGAUCCACCUGCACGCCGCCCUCCCCGUGGUCCUACACCUAGACAAAGCUCAGGAAGAGAGAAUUAUUUCCCUUGGGGAGCUUGAUCUACAGACAAAGCUCAAGAGGAGGAUCGACAUCCGCAAGGCCUUCGACUCGGUGAAGUGGGGAUACAUCCUUGACCUUCUCCAAAGAAGGGGAUUCCCAUGCAAAUUCCGCAAUUGGGUGAGAGCGCUCCUUCACUCGUCCUCCUCCAGGAUUCUUCUCAAUGAGGUGGCGGGGCCACCAAUCAUUCAUGGACACGGGCUGAGGCAAGGGGACCCACUGUCCCCACUCCUCUUCGGCAUCAUUAUCGACCCCCUCCAACGCAUUCUCGAAGUGGCUACAAGAAAGGGGCUUCUCCACAAGAUCAGGGGAAGGAGCACCGUAGUGAGAACUUCAUUAUAUGCAGAUGAAAAGGCGAUGUUCAUGGCACCCAUCAAGAGAGAUAUUGAUAACCUCUCCGGUAUCCUCAAAGGCUUCGGUGAGGUCACGGGCCUCCACGCCAACUUCAACAAGAGCUUGGUAGUUCCCAUUGAAUGUGCAGACAUCAACCUUGAGCAUAUCCUCCAAAGCUUACCGGCGACAAUAACAUCCUUUCCAAUGAGGUACUUGGGGUUGCCCCUCUCCGGGUGGCAACUUAAAAAGGACGAGAAGGACACCCAAUAG
RNAcentral lists this ribosomal RNA (2433 nucleotides) under Triticum aestivum (bread wheat). RNAcentral describes it as "partial small subunit ribosomal RNA". Lineage: Eukaryota; Viridiplantae; Streptophyta; Magnoliopsida; Poales; Poaceae. The record is from RNAcentral.